UCCCUACCAGGUGGUAGUCCUGGAAGUUCGUCUGGGAAAACAUCUAGAAACUCUCGGACUACUGGUACUGUGGCUGGUUCCCUAACCUGACUAUCUAGCUCCCUCACAUGAGCUAGAAACCCCUGACAACCCCUCCUAAGCAAACGACGAGCCUGAAGGGCUGAAAUCAAACCUUUGGGUGUACCUCUCCUGUCUCCCCUGAAGACACACUCUGACCCAUCCUGGUCUUUGAGACUAACUACCUUCUCUCGACAGUCCAAGGUCGUACCAUAUGCAGAUAACCAAUCCAUCCCUAGAAUGACAUCAAAAUCUGUCAAGUCUAGAACCACAAGGUCAGCUGGAAGGCAUCUACCCU
This 355-nucleotide long non-coding RNA is filed under the name Manihot esculenta (cassava). Its description in RNAcentral is "long non-coding RNA (MESC_LNC007975)". Lineage: Eukaryota; Viridiplantae; Streptophyta; Magnoliopsida; Malpighiales; Euphorbiaceae. The record is from RNAcentral.